This 280-nucleotide long non-coding RNA is filed under the name Mytilus galloprovincialis (Mediterranean mussel). The record is from RNAcentral. Lineage: Eukaryota; Metazoa; Mollusca; Bivalvia; Mytilida; Mytilidae.
AUAUAAAAAAGAAGAUGUGCCAAUGAGACAACUAUCCACAAAAGACCAAAAUGAAACAGACAUUAACAACUAUAGGUCACUGUACGGCCUUCAAUAAUGAGCAAAGCCCAUACCGCAUAGUCAGCUAUGAAAGGCAAUUGUAAAACAAUUUAAAGUUUAGUUAUGAUAUUUUUAGCUUUGCCGUUAUUUGUCAUCCAAUUUUGAACUACAGACAUAAAUUGUACAUUACAUUUCAUUGCAUACUGCAAGUUAACCAAUCAAAUGUUCAUUAUUUUCUCCC